RNAcentral lists this ribosomal RNA (174 nucleotides) under uncultured bacterium. Its description in RNAcentral is "partial 16S ribosomal RNA". It matches the Rfam family "Bacterial small subunit ribosomal RNA", at positions 1319 to 1500 of the family's 1533-position model. The record is from RNAcentral.
CAUGAAGCUGGAUUCGCUAGUAAUCGCGCAUCAGCCACGGCGCGGUGAAUACGUUCCCGGGCCUUGUACACACCGCCCGUCAAGCCAUGGAAGCCGGGAGUGCCUGAAGUACGUGACCGCGAGGAGCGUCCUAGGGCAAAACUGGUGACUGGGGCUAAGUCGUAACAAGGUAAC